This 245-nucleotide ribosomal RNA is filed under the name Winslowiella iniecta. Its description in RNAcentral is "Erwinia iniecta partial 16S ribosomal RNA". It matches the Rfam family "Bacterial small subunit ribosomal RNA", at positions 621 to 866 of the family's 1533-position model. The record is from RNAcentral. Lineage: Bacteria; Pseudomonadati; Pseudomonadota; Gammaproteobacteria; Enterobacterales; Erwiniaceae.
CCUGCAUUUGAACUGCACGCGGGAGUCUCGUAGAGGGGGUAGAAUUCCAGGUGUAGCGGUGAAAUGCGUAGAGAUGUGGAGGAAUCCCGGUGGCGAAGGCGGCCCCCUGGACGAAGACUGACGCUCAGGUGCGAAAGCGUGGGGAGCAAACAGGAUUAGAUACCCUGGUAGUCCACGCCGUGAUCUUUUCAACUUGGAGGUUGUGCCCUUGAGGCGUGGCUUCCGGAGCUUAACGGCGGUUAAAA